Non-coding RNA from Acanthosepion pharaonis, 102 nucleotides. The record is from the annotation of a GenBank genome assembly. NCBI's taxonomy places the organism in Eukaryota, Metazoa, Mollusca, Cephalopoda, Sepiida, Sepiidae.
GCAUUGGAACACUGGUUCACAUGUGAUCACCAAAGUUAAGCAAAAUCGAACUUGUUCAGUACCUAAAUGGGUAACUGCUUGGGAGUAUCUGGUGCUGCAAGC